GAGGAGCUUGCUCCUCUGACGUUAGCGGCGGACGGGUGAGUAACACGUGGAUAACCUACCUAUAAGACUGGGAUAACUUCGGGAAACCGGAGCUACUACCGGAUAAUAUAUUGAACCGCAUGGUUCAAUAGUGAAAGACGGUUUUGCUGUCACUUAUAGAUGGAUCCGCGCCGCAUUAGCUAGUUGGUAAGGUAACGGCUUACCAAGGCAACGAUGCGUAGCCGACCUGAGAGGGUGAUCGGCCACACUGGAACUGAGACACGGUCCAGACUCCUACGGGAGGCAGCAGUAGGGAAUCUUCCGCAAUGGGCGAAAGCCUGACGGAGCAACGCCGCGUGAGUGAUGAAGGUCUUCGGAUCGUAAAACUCUGUUAUUAGGGAAGAA
This 384-nucleotide ribosomal RNA is filed under the name uncultured Staphylococcus sp. RNAcentral describes it as "bacterial SSU rRNA". It matches the Rfam family "Bacterial small subunit ribosomal RNA", at positions 73 to 449 of the family's 1533-position model. The record is from RNAcentral. Lineage: Bacteria; Bacillati; Bacillota; Bacilli; Caryophanales; Staphylococcaceae.